UGUCUUAGCUUGCUAAGGCUGAUGGCGACCGGCGCACGGGUGAGUAACACGUAUCCAACCUGCCGUCUACUCUUGGCCAGCCUUCUGAAAGGAAGAUUAAUCCAGGAUGGCAUCAUGAGUUCACAUGUCCGCAUGAUUAAAGGUAUUUUCCGGUAGACGAUGGGGAUGCGUUCCAUUAGAUAGUAGGCGGGGUAACGGCCCACCUAGUCAACGAUGGAUAGGGGUUCUGAGAGGAAGGUCCCCCACAUUGGAACUGAGACACGGUCCAAACUCCUACGGGAGGCAGCAGUGAGGAAUAUUGGUCAAUGGGCGAUGGCCUGAACCAGCCAAGUAGCGUGAAGGAUGACUGCCCUAUGGGUUGUAAACUUCUUUUAUAAAGGAAUAAAGUCGGGUAUGCAUACCCGUUUGCAUGUACUUUAUGAAUAAGGAUCGGCUAACUCCGUGCCAGCAGCCGCGGUAAUACGGAGGAUCCGAGCGUUAUCCGGAUUUAUUGGGUUUAAAGGGAGCGUAGAUGGAUGUUUAAGUCAGUUGUGAAAGUUUGCGGCUCAACCGUAAAAUUGCAGUUGAUACUGGAUGUCUUGAGUGCAGUUGAGGCAGGCGGAAUUCGUGGUGUAGCGGUGAAAUGCUUAGAUAUCACGAAGAACUCCGAUUGCGAAGGCAGCCUGCUAAGCUGCAACUGACAUUGAGGCUCGAAAGUGUGGGUAUCAAACAGGAUUAGAUACCCUGGUAGUCCACACGGUAAACGAUGAAUACUCGCUGUUUGCGAUAUACGGCAAGCGGCCAAGCGAAAGCGU
Molecule: ribosomal RNA, 794 nt
Filed under: uncultured bacterium
Lineage: Bacteria
Description: bacterial SSU rRNA
Rfam family: Bacterial small subunit ribosomal RNA
Source: RNAcentral